UACCAGCUCUCCGAGUGGUAGGGAUGAUUAUUGGGCUUAAAGCCUCCGUAGCCGGCUUAGCAAGUCUCCUGUUAAAUUCAGCGACCUAAUCGUUGAGCCGCGGGAGAUACUACUAGGCUAGGAGGCGGGAGAGGUCAACGGUACUUCCGGGGUAGGGGUGAAAUCCUAUAAUCCCGGGAGGACCACCAGUGGCGAAGGCUGUUGACUAGAACGCGCUCGACGGUGAGGGACGAAAGCUGGGGGAGCGAACCGGAUUAGAUACCCGGGUAGUCCCAGCUGUAAACGAUGCGAGCUAGGUGUUGAGGUGGCUACGAGCCACUUCAGUGCCGCAGGGAAGCCAUUAAGCCCGCCGCCUGGGGAGUACGGCCGCAAGGCUGAAACUUAAAGGAAUUGGCGGGGGAGCACCACAAGGCGUGAAGCUUGCGGUUC
This 429-nucleotide ribosomal RNA is filed under the name uncultured archaeon. RNAcentral's name for it is "bacterial SSU rRNA". It matches the Rfam family "Archaeal small subunit ribosomal RNA", at positions 474 to 903 of the family's 1478-position model. The record is from RNAcentral.